Molecule: ribosomal RNA, 301 nt
Filed under: uncultured bacterium
Lineage: Bacteria
Description: partial 16S ribosomal RNA
Rfam family: Bacterial small subunit ribosomal RNA
Source: RNAcentral
CAGUAGCCGCGGUAAUACGAAGGGUGCAAGCGUUACUCGGAAUUACUGGGCGUAAAGCGUGCGUAGGUGGUGGUUUAAGUCCGUUGUGAAAGCCCUGGGCUCAACCUGGGAAUUGCAGUGGAUACUGGAUCACUAGAGUGUGGUAGAGGAUAGUGGAAUUUCCGGUGUGGCAGUGAAAUGCGUAGAGAUCGGAAGGAACAUCUGUGGCGAAGGCGACUAUCUGGGCCAACACUGACACUGAGGCACGAAAGCGUGGGGAGCAAACAGGAUUAGAUACCCGCGUAGUCCCUGUCUCUUAUAC